GUUUUAAUAGUUUAAUCAAAACAUUGGUUUUGUAAACCAAAAUUAAGAAAUUAAUUCUUUUAAAACU
Molecule: transfer RNA, 67 nt
Filed under: Nymphes myrmeleonoides
Lineage: Eukaryota; Metazoa; Arthropoda; Insecta; Neuroptera; Nymphidae
Description: tRNA-Thr
Rfam family: tRNA
About the family: Transfer RNA (tRNA) molecules are approximately 80 nucleotides in length. Their secondary structure includes four short double-helical elements and three loops (D, anti-codon, and T loops).
Source: RNAcentral